This 303-nucleotide ribosomal RNA is filed under the name uncultured bacterium. RNAcentral's name for it is "partial 16S ribosomal RNA". It matches the Rfam family "Bacterial small subunit ribosomal RNA", at positions 507 to 807 of the family's 1533-position model. The record is from RNAcentral.
AGCAGUAGCCGCGGUAAUACGUAGGGUGCGAGCGUUAAUCGGAAUUACUGGGCGUAAAGCGUGCGCAGGCGGUUAUAUAAGACAGAUGUGAAAUCCCCGGGCUCAACCUGGGACCUGCAUAUGUGACUGUAUAGCUAGAGUACGGUAGAGGGGGAUGGAAUUCCGCGUGUAGCAGUGAAAUGCGUAGAUAUGCGGAGGAACACCGAUGGCGAAGGCAAUCCCCUGGACCUGUACUGACGCUCAUGCACGAAAGCGUGGGGAGCAAACAGGAUUAGAUACCCCGGUAGUCCCUGUCUCUUAUAC